GCAUUGCACGCACCUGAGCUCCCCGGGCUGGCCCGGCCUUCCGCCACGUGCUCCGUCACUGCUUCAGGCCGGGACUCAGCACUGCCACUACAGAUGGGGUGGUGGCACAUGGGGAGGAUGGGGAUGCCAUGGGAUGGUGGCACAUGGAAGGGUGGAGGUGCCAUGGGAUGGUGGCACAUGGAAGGGAUGGAGAUGCCCUGGGAUGGUGGCACAUGGAUAGGAUGGAGGUGUUCAGAAAUGGUGACACGUGGGCAGAGUGGAGGUGCCGUGGGAUGGUGGCACAUGGGAGGAUGGAGACAUCCAGUUUGGCACAGGGACAGGAUGGAGAUGCCAUGGGAUGGUGGCACAUGGAUAGGAUGGAGACGGUAUGCGAUGGUGGCACAGGGACAGGAUGGAGAUGUGGUGGGAUGGUGGCACAUGGAAGGGUGGAGAUGCCAUGGGAUGGUGGCAUGGGGACAGGAUGGAGAUGCCCUGGGAUGGUGGCACAUGGAAGGGUGGAGGUGUUCAGAAAUGGUGACACGUGGGCAGAGUGAAGGUGCUGUGGGAUGGUGGCACAUGGGAGGAUGGAGACAUCCAGUUUGGCACAGGGACAGGACGGAGAUGCGGUGGGAUGGUGGCACAUGGAAGGAUGGAGACGGUAUGCGAUGGUGGCACAGGGACAGGAUGGAGAUGUGGUGGGAUGGUGGCACAUGGAAGGGUGGAGACAUCCAGUUUGGCACAGGGACAGGAUGGGGAUGCGAUGGGAUGGUGGCACAGGGAUAGGACGGAGGCGCUGAGAAGCGGCGGCGCAGGGCAGGUGGGGGUGUUAUGGGCAGGUGGGGUUGUUAUGGGCCGGCGGCGCAGCGAAGGACGGAGGUGGGGACGCCGGGAGGCGGCGCAGUGCGGCCCGCUGUGGGGCGGCGCAGAGCUGCGGCGCUGGGAGCGUUUGGUUCUCAUUAUGGGCUGCUGGCAGCGGCGGUGGAAAAAAUAGCAGUGAGUGCAGAGCUGGGAGGGAGAGGGGCCGUGGAGGGGCGGCUGCGGUGUGCAAACAGCGAGCGGUGAGCACGGCCAGCGUGCAAAUACAGCGUGCAACGUGUGCUCAGCGUGC
Molecule: long non-coding RNA, 1087 nt
Filed under: Gallus gallus (chicken)
Lineage: Eukaryota; Metazoa; Chordata; Aves; Galliformes; Phasianidae
Description: lncRNA (ENSGALG00010026556.1)
Source: RNAcentral